AACGGACUAAUGAAAAAAGGAGGAAAAAAAUGCGCGGGUCACAAAGCAAAAAAGGGGGGAAGAAAUACGCGGGUCACUCACAAAGAGCCGGGUAAAAAACCCAAUUUAUUUCCUCUCUCUUAAAAUUGCCGAAUUCUCCGAACCAAAUUUCUUCCCUCUCUUCAGACUUCCAAUUGCCGAGCUCAGAACAACUCUGUAAAUCUGUAAAUUUCGUAUAUACAUACAGAUUCUCUCUCCCCAUUUGAAGACCCUCUCUCUCUCACACUUCCAAGGAGCAGACAAAGCAAACCCCUUUCCCUCAUCCGAUUCGGUUGAAAGGAGCGAAGUUGUGUUCGAUUUCUUCCCCUGCCACUGACCCGAAUCAGUUCAAGCAAUCCUAGAUAUUCGCGGUACUUCCUUUCCUCUGGUAAGCUUUUCUUAUUUGUUAGUCUUGUCUAUAGAAACCGUAAUUUUAUAAGUUGUGUUGUAAAAAUCAUGAAUGUGAAUUGUUUGAGACAUGUAAAGGCUUCAGAUUUCUUCAAUUCACCACAUGACCUAGAUAAGUUUUGUCUUAAUUUAUGGGUAUCUUGUCAAAAAUGUAAUCUAUGGAGUUAUGUUAUGCGAAUUGCACUAGUUAUGUUCUGCGAAUUGGGUUUGACAAAAUAACCCUCAGUUAAUCUAUGGAGUUAUGGAUUUCUGAUUAUUGGAUGAAACAACUUUCGUGUUUUAGUAAUUUGGGUCUUUUUUUUCAUUUGGUUUUCAAGGAUUAUUCCCCCCUUCCUUUUGAGCAUGUUUGUUUUGUGUGCUUUAAUAGUGAAGUCUUUAGGAGUAAAAUGGAGAAGAGCAUAACGCUGAUAAAUCGAACAAAGGAUGAACUUGCCAUACAAAAGCUGCAAUGCACAUUUUUCCUUUGAAAUUUCUUUAAACCAAUAGUUUGUUUUUCUUUUGGCCUUGGUGAGUGUUGUUUGUCUUUUUAUAUGCACAAUUUGGUGGUUGCCUCAUUUAAUAUUUAUUCAUGUGGGUUUAAUGAGAAACAAGUACCUGAAUGUGACAUCAUUUUAUUAGGAUGUGAAUGAGUGAUGCUAAUUCGACUUGUAACUUGCUGCAACAAAGUGGUGCUAAUGUAUAACAUUCCAUAUAUCAGUAACUCCGUUUGAGCAGCUAUGAACGCACAUUGUGAUUGUGAGAGGCGACCGCAACUUAAAACAACAUGGACCGAUUCAAACCAGGAAGAAGGUUUUUAUCAUGUCCGAAUUAUGGAAAAGUAAGUGUGUUAGGGUUUCAAUUUUUUUAUAUAUCUAUUCCAUUCUAUUUACUUGCACAUAAAAUUGAAAUCUUCUUUGUUUACAGAGGAAUGCUUGUCAAUUUUUUGCUUGGUAUGAUCCUUCAAUGUGUGACAGAUCAAGACAAAUAAUCCCCGGAUUACUUCGAAAGAUUAACGAAAUGGAGCAAGAGAUGGAGAAAGUGUGUGCAAUAGGCAAAUUGAUUUUAAUCAUGUUAUUGUAGAUGGAGUAAAUAUUGUAAUUUGGGUUAACUUCUAGAAUCUGUAAGGAUUGUUUUCUUUGUGUUGUUAGAAGUGGUGAUAUUAGCAUUAACAUCAAUUCUCCGCUCACAUAAGGUUGUUUUGUCUAUGUAACAAAUGUCUCAUUUCCUAUAAGGUUGUUAUUAAUGAGUAAAAGUUUAAUGUUGAUGAACUUUGUGAAAUUUUUUGAAGCUUAUUGUCGGGCUUCUGGUGUUGUUUGUGACUUAAUAUACUUGUGAUUUAUUUGUUGCACUCAAGUUUUCAUCAAUACUAAUGGAAAAGUGCCAAUAUUAAUUUGGGAACUUUUUAGUAAAUAUUCUGGCAUCAAGUAUCUUGAUUUAUUUUCUGUCUAUUUUCCCUUCUAGUCUAAAGAAAAGGGCGAGAGGGAGGAUAGGGACAUGUUGAAAUAAUUUUAUAUUCCACAAUUUUAUACAAAUGUUAUCAUGUUAAAGUGUCUCUCGCUUUGAUCCUGUUUGUUUGCAUGAUUUGUUCUUAUAAUGUUGCUCAAAGAU
This 2013-nucleotide long non-coding RNA is filed under the name Panax ginseng (ginseng). RNAcentral describes it as "long non-coding RNA (PGIN_LNC011063)". Lineage: Eukaryota; Viridiplantae; Streptophyta; Magnoliopsida; Apiales; Araliaceae. The record is from RNAcentral.